UGGCGGACGGGUGAGUAACGCGUGGGUAACCUGCCUUGUACUGGGGGACAACAGUUAGAAAUGACUGCUAAUACCGCAUAAGCGCACAGUAUCGCACGAUACAGUGUGAAAAACUCCGGUGGUACAAGAUGGACCCGCGUCUGAUUAGCUAGUUGGUAAGGUAACGGCUUACCAAGGCGACGAUCAGUAGCCGACCUGAGAGGGUGACCGGCCACAUUGGGACUGAGACACGGCCCAA
This 238-nucleotide ribosomal RNA is filed under the name uncultured bacterium. RNAcentral's name for it is "partial 16S ribosomal RNA". It matches the Rfam family "Bacterial small subunit ribosomal RNA", at positions 96 to 334 of the family's 1533-position model. The record is from RNAcentral.